GGGUUGUGAGGUUAAGCGACUAAGCGUACACGGUGGAUGCCCUGGCAGUCAGAGGCGAUGAAGGGCGUGCUAAUCUGCGAUAAGCGCCGGUAAGGUGAUAUGAACCGUUAUAACCGGCGAUACCCGAAUGGGGAAACCCAGUGUGAUUCGUCACACUAUCAUUAACUGAAUCCAUAGGUUAAUGAGGCGAACCGGGGGAACUGAAACAUCUAAGUACCCCGAGGAAAAGAAAUCAACCGAGAUUCCCCCAGUAGCGGCGAGCGAACGGGGAGGAGCCCAGAGCCUGAAUCAGCAUGUGUGUUAGUGGAAGCGUCUGGAAAGGCGCGCGAUACAGGGUGACAGCCCCGUACACAAAAGCGCAUGUGCUGUGAGCUCGAUGAGUAGGGCGGGACACGUGGUAUCCUGUCUGAAUAUGGGGGGACCAUCCUCCAAGGCUAAAUACUCCUGACUGACCGAUAGUGAACCAGUACCGUGAGGGAAAGGCGAAAAGAACCCCGGCGAGGGGAGUGAAAAAGAACCUGAAACCGUGUACGUACAAGCAGUGGGAGCACAGGUUUACCUGUGUGACUGCGUACCUUUUGUAUAAUGGGUCAGCGACUUAUAUUCUGUAGCAAGGUUAACCGAAUAGGGGAGCCGGAGGGAAACCGAGUCUUAAUUGGGCGUUAAGUUGCAGGGUAUAGACCCGAAACCCGGUGAUCUAGCCAUGGGCAGGUUGAAGGUUGGGUAACACUAACUGGAGGACCGAACCGACUAAUGUUGAAAAAUUAGCGGAUGACCUGUGGCUGGGGGUGAAAGGCCAAUCAAACCGGGAGAUAGCUGGUUCUCCCCGAAAGCUAUUUAGGUAGCGCCUCGUGAAUUCAUCUCCGGGGGUAGAGCACUGUUUCGGCUAGGGGGCCAUCCCGGCUUACCAACCCGAUGCAAACUGCGAAUACCGGAGAAUGUUAUCACGGGAGACACACGGCGGGUGCUAACGUCCGUCGUGAAGAGGGAAACAACCCAGACCGCCAGCUAAGGUCCCAAAGUCAUGGUUAAGUGGGAAACGAUGUGGGAAGGCCCAGACAGCCAGGAUGUUGGCUUAGAAGCAGCCAUCAUUUAAAGAAAGCGUAAUAGCUCACUGGUCGAGUCGGCCUGCGCGGAAGAUGUAACGGGGCUAAACCAUGCACCGAAGCUGCGGCAGCGACGCUGAUGCGUUGUUGGGUAGGGGAGCGUUCUGUAAGCCUGUGAAGGUGUGUCGUGAGGCAUGCUGGAGGUAUCAGAAGUGCGAAUGCUGACAUAAGUAACGAUAAAGCGGGUGAAAAGCCCGCUCGCCGGAAGACCAAGGGUUCCUGUCCAACGUUAAUCGGGGCAGGGUGAGUCGACCCCUAAGGCGAGGCCGAAAGGCGUAGUCGAUGGGAAACGGGUUAAUAUUCCCGUACUUGGUGUUACUGCGAAGGGGGGACGGAGAAGGCUAUGUUGGCCGGGCGACGGUUGUCCCGGUUUAAGCGUGUAGGUGUGUGUUCCAGGUAAAUCCGGUUCACUUUAACACUGAGGCGUGACGACGAGGCACUACGGUGCUGAAGCAACAAAUGCCCUGCUUCCAGGAAAAGCCUCUAAGCAUCAGGUAACAUCAAAUCGUACCCCAAACCGACACAGGUGGUCAGGUAGAGAAUACCAAGGCGCUUGAGAGAACUCGGGUGAAGGAACUAGGCAAAAUGGUGCCGUAACUUCGGGAGAAGGCACGCUGACACGUAGGUGAAGUGAUUUACUCAUGGAGCUGAAGUCAGUCGAAGAUACCAGCUGGCUGCAACUGUUUAUUAAAAACACAGCACUGUGCAAACACGAAAGUGGACGUAUACGGUGUGACGCCUGCCCGGUGCCGGAAGGUUAAUUGAUGGGGUCAGCGCAAGCGAAGCUCCUGAUCGAAGCCCCGGUAAACGGCGGCCGUAACUAUAACGGUCCUAAGGUAGCGAAAUUCCUUGUCGGGUAAGUUCCGACCUGCACGAAUGGCGUAAUGAUGGCCAGGCUGUCUCCACCCGAGACUCAGUGAAAUUGAACUCGCUGUGAAGAUGCAGUGUACCCGCGGCAAGACGGAAAGACCCCGUGAACCUUUACUAUAGCUUGACACUGAACAUUGAGCCUUGAUGUGUAGGAUAGGUGGGAGGCUUUGAAGUGUGGACGCCAGUCUGCAUGGAGCCGACCUUGAAAUACCACCCUUUAAUGUUUGAUGUUCUAACGUGGACCCGUAAUCCGGGUUGCGGACAGUGUCUGGUGGGUAGUUUGACUGGGGCGGUCUCCUCCUAAAGAGUAACGGAGGAGCACGAAGGUUGGCUAAUCCUGGUCGGACAUCAGGAGGUUAGUGCAAUGGCAUAAGCCAGCUUGACUGCGAGCGUGACGGCGCGAGCAGGUGCGAAAGCAGGUCAUAGUGAUCCGGUGGUUCUGAAUGGAAGGGCCAUCGCUCAACGGAUAAAAGGUACUCCGGGGAUAACAGGCUGAUACCGCCCAAGAGUUCAUAUCGACGGCGGUGUUUGGCACCUCGAUGUCGGCUCAUCACAUCCUGGGGCUGAAGUAGGUCCCAAGGGUAUGGCUGUUCGCCAUUUAAAGUGGUACGCGAGCUGGGUUUAGAACGUCGUGAGACAGUUCGGUCCCUAUCUGCCGUGGGCGCUGGAGAACUGAGGGGGGCUGCUCCUAGUACGAGAGGACCGGAGUGGACGCAUCACUGGUGUUCGGGUUGUCAUGCCAAUGGCACUGCCCGGUAGCUAAAUGCGGAAGAGAUAAGUGCUGAAAGCAUCUAAGCACGAAACUUGCCCCGAGAUGAGUUCUCCCUGAGACUUAGAGUCUCCUGAAGGAACGUUGAAGACGACGACGUUGAUAGGCCGGGUGUGUAAGCGCAGCGAUGCGUUGAGCUAACCGGUACUAAUGAACCGUGAGGCUUAACCUUACAACGCCGAAG
Molecule: ribosomal RNA, 2929 nt
Filed under: Salmonella enterica subsp. enterica serovar Hvittingfoss str. SA20014981
Lineage: Bacteria; Pseudomonadati; Pseudomonadota; Gammaproteobacteria; Enterobacterales; Enterobacteriaceae
Description: bacterial LSU rRNA
Rfam family: Bacterial large subunit ribosomal RNA
Source: RNAcentral